This 313-nucleotide ribosomal RNA is filed under the name uncultured microorganism. RNAcentral describes it as "bacterial SSU rRNA". It matches the Rfam family "Archaeal small subunit ribosomal RNA", at positions 330 to 643 of the family's 1478-position model. The record is from RNAcentral.
GUGCAGCAGUCGAGAAAACUUUACAAUGUGCGAAAGCACGAUAAGGGAACUCUGAGUGCCUCCUAAGGAGGCUGUUCAGGUGUCUAAAAAGCACCUGGAGUAAGGGCUGGGUAAGACCGGUGCCAGCCGCCGCGGUAACGACCGGCAGCCCAGGUGGUAGCCACUUUUAUUGGGUCUAAAGCCGUCCGUAGCCGGUUGAGUAAGUUCCUUGGGAAAUUUGGGCUGCUCAACAGUCAAGCUUCCAGGGAAUACUGCUCGACUUGGGGACUGGGAGAGGUCAGAGGUACUCCAGGGGUAGGGGUGAAAGUCCAUU